Molecule: small RNA, 58 nt
Filed under: Arabidopsis thaliana (thale cress)
Lineage: Eukaryota; Viridiplantae; Streptophyta; Magnoliopsida; Brassicales; Brassicaceae
Description: ATSL133610
Source: RNAcentral
UUCCCAUCUCCGCCUUCUCUUCCACCUCGUCCACCUCCAUAGCCACGUUUUCGACACC